RNAcentral lists this transfer RNA (68 nucleotides) under Hospesneotomae protracta (western bloodsucking conenose). RNAcentral's name for it is "Triatoma protracta (western bloodsucking conenose) tRNA-Ser". It matches the Rfam family "tRNA". From Rfam's summary of the family: Transfer RNA (tRNA) molecules are approximately 80 nucleotides in length. The record is from RNAcentral. Lineage: Eukaryota; Metazoa; Arthropoda; Insecta; Hemiptera; Reduviidae.
AGUUAAUUAGCUUAAAUAAAGCCUAUAUUUUGAAAAUAUAAGAAAAAGGUUAAUCCCUUUAUUAACUU